Molecule: ribosomal RNA, 497 nt
Filed under: uncultured bacterium
Lineage: Bacteria
Description: partial 16S ribosomal RNA
Rfam family: Bacterial small subunit ribosomal RNA
Source: RNAcentral
GAUGAACGCUGGCGGCGUGCCUAAUACAUGCAAGUCGAGCGAACAGACGAGGAGCUUGCUUCUCUGACGUUAGCGGCGGACGGGUGAGUAACACGUGGAUAACCUACCUAUAAGACUGGGAUAACUUCGGGAAACCGGAGCUAAUACCGGAUAAUAUAUUGAACCGCAUGGUUCAAUAGUGAAAGACGGUUUUGCUGUCACUUAUAGAUGGAUCCGCGCUGCAUUAGCUAGUUGGUAAGGUAACGGCUUACCAAGGCAACGAUGCGUAGCCGACCUGAGAGGGUGAUCGGCCACACUGGAACUGAGACACGGUCCAGACUCCUACGGGAGGCAGCAGUAGGGAAUCUUCCGCAAGGGGCGAAAGCCUGACGGAGCAACGCCGCGUGAGUGAUGAAGGUCUUCGGAUCGUAAAACUCUGUUAUUAGGGAAGAACAAAUGUGUAAGUAACUAUGCACGUCUUGACGGUACCUAAUCAGAAAGCCACGGCUAACUACGUG